CGUGUGCCCAGCAGAGCCCGCGGUAAAUUACGGAGAGCGUGCCGAAGCGGUAAAUUCGAGAUUACUGGGCGUAAAGCGCGCGUAGGCGGCGUGAUAAGCCGGUUGUGAAAGCCCCGGGCUCAACCUGGGAACGGCAUCCGGAACUGUCAGGCUAGAGUGCAGGAGAGGAAGGUAGAAUUCCCGGUGUAGCGGUGAAAUGCGUAGAGAUCGGGAGGAAUACCAGUGGCGAAGGCGGCCUUCUGGACUGACACUGACGCUGAGGUGCGAAAGCGUGGGUAGCAAACAGGAUUAGAUACCCUGGUAGUCCACGCCGUAAACGAUGUCGACUAGCCGUUGGGGUCCUUGUGACCUUUGUGGCGCAGUUAACGCGAUAAGUCGACCGCCUGGGGAGUACGGCCGCAAGGUUAAAACUCAAAUGAAUUGACGGGGGCCCGCACAAGCGGUGGAGCAUGUGGUUUAAUUCGAUGCAACGCGAAGAACCUUACCUACUCUUGACAUCGUGCGAACUUUCCAGAGAUGGAUUGGUGCCUUCGGGAACGCACAGACAGGUGCUGCAUGGCCGUCGUCAGCUCGUGUUGUGAAAUGUUGGGUUAAGUCCCGUAACGAGCGCAACCCUUGUCCCUAUUUGCCAGCGAUUCGGUCGGGAACUCUAGGGAGACUGCCGGUGACAAACCGGAGGAAGGUGGGGACGACGUCAGGUCAUCAUGGCCCUUACGAGUAGGGCUACACACGUGCUACAAUGGCCGGUACAAAGGGUUGCGAAGCCGCGAGGUGGAGCUAAUCCCGAAAAGCCGGUCUCAGUCCGGAUCGGAGUCUGCAACUCGACUCCGUGAAGUCGGAAUCGCUAGUAAUCGUGAAUCAGAAUGUCACGGUGAAUACGUUCCCGGGCCUUGUACACACCGCCCGUCACACCAUGGGAGUGGACUGCACCAGAAGUGGUUAGCCUA
Molecule: ribosomal RNA, 947 nt
Filed under: gamma proteobacterium DT-T
Lineage: Bacteria; Pseudomonadati; Pseudomonadota; Gammaproteobacteria
Description: bacterial SSU rRNA
Rfam family: Bacterial small subunit ribosomal RNA
Source: RNAcentral